GGCCACGCGAUUUUGGACGCUGGCCAAAUCUGUCUUCGUGCGAAAAGACGCGACGGAGGAUCGACAACGAAACAGAGAGAGAGAGAGUGAGAACGAGCGCCUAUCGUCAAGGAAAACAGAGUAAAAAGAGGACGCGCAGCCUAGAGACAGCCGGACAGGAAGUAGAAAAUCGUUCGAUAGAUCGGCUGAAAUAGUCGAGCGGCGAUGGCGGCAGAUCGAAAGGUCGAACAAGCGAAACGAAACCGGUUAGAAAUUGCGGAACAAUACCAGCAACGGGCCAGCGCUGGUUGACUGGUGGUAACACACAGCAAUGCCAAGGUCAUGAGAGGAAUUUUCAUACGACACCAGGCCACUAGGCAGCAAAAUGUCGGUCACUGGAACUUUUAUCCGAGAGCAAGGGAACCGCGCAGAGGAACGUGCGGAGGUCGCUGCUACACCUCGCGAUGCUCCGCUGAUCAGAUUCAUAACGCGAUAAACCAACGACGAGUGUGUGCCGGCACGCUUCGUCUCGCGCAGUUAACCCAAAUUGCACGAUACAAGUGCUCGGACAAACGACCCGCCGCUUAAUGAACUUUCCUCGGACUUCUGGAUACGCGGGUUCUAGUCGAGCGUCGAUUGUCUGUUGCUGUACUCUCGAUGAUAAGAUAAAGUUGCUUGGAUACAGCGAAGUAGCGAUGGAAAAUGGUCAGUAAAAAUGUAAAAAUAAAAGGCAUAUUCUCACCGUCUUCGCCUUCAAUUGAUCCUCUGUCCGAUGAACGUUCAACAGAGGUGCAACUUUCACGUAUAAUCUCCACCAGGGCCAUUCUCUUACGGACAUCCACUUCCUAACAUUCCUCUGUAUGCAUCUGACCGCAAGAUCUUGCAGCUGAAAGGAUGCAACGCAUUGCGGAAAUGAAGAAGCCGAAAUGAAGAAACUUCUCGGGAUGAGUGAAAACUACCGGUACAGGUUCGCAAGUGAAGGUGCACUUUUACAAACUCAGGAAGAUGUCGUGACAUACUUUCAAAGUGUUGAGUUUACGACGUGCC
Molecule: long non-coding RNA, 1026 nt
Organism: Frieseomelitta varia
Lineage: Eukaryota; Metazoa; Arthropoda; Insecta; Hymenoptera; Apidae
Exons: 3
Source: RefSeq, a predicted model, not a curated record